Molecule: ribosomal RNA, 497 nt
Filed under: uncultured bacterium
Lineage: Bacteria
Description: partial 16S ribosomal RNA
Rfam family: Bacterial small subunit ribosomal RNA
Source: RNAcentral
GAUGAACGCUGGCGGCGUGCCUAAUACAUGCAAGUCGAGCGAACGGACGAGAAGCUUGCUUCUCUGAUGUUAGCGGCGGACGGGUGAGUAACACGUGGAUAACCUACCUAUAAGACUGGGAUAACUUCGGGAAACCGGAGCUAAUACCGGAUAAUAUUUUGAACCGCAUGGUUCAAAAGUGAAAGGCGGUCUUGCUGUCACUUAUAGAUGGAUCCGCGCUGCAUUAGCUAGUUGGUAAGGUAACGGCUUACCAAGGCAACGAUGCAUAGCCGACCUGAGAGGGUGAUCGGCCACACUGGAACUGGGACACGGUCCAGACUCCUACGGGAGGCAGCAGUAGGGAAUCUUCCGCAAUGGGCGAAAGCCUGACGGAGCAACGCCGCGUGAGUGAUGAAGGUCUUCGGAUCGUAAAACUCUGUUAUUAGGGAAGAACAUAUGUGUAAGUAACUGUGCACAUCUUGACGGUACCUAAUCAGAAAGCCACGGCUAACUACGUG